CAGCCGCCACGGUAAUACAGAGGGUGCGAGCGUUAAUCGGACUUACUGGGCGUAAAGCGUGCGUAGGCGGCUAAUUGAGUCGGAUGUGAAAUCCCCGAGCUUAACUUGGGAAUUGCAUUCGAUACUGGUUAGCUAGAGUGUGGGAGAGGAUGGUAGAAUUCCAGGUGUAGCGGUGAAAUGCGUAGAGAUCUGGAGGAAUACCGAUGGCGAAGGCAGCCAUCUGGCCUAACACUGACGCUGAGGUACGAAAGCAUGGGGAGCAAACAGGAUUAGAUACCCGCGUAGUCCCUGUCUCUUAUAC
This 301-nucleotide ribosomal RNA is filed under the name uncultured bacterium. Its description in RNAcentral is "partial 16S ribosomal RNA". It matches the Rfam family "Bacterial small subunit ribosomal RNA", at positions 509 to 807 of the family's 1533-position model. The record is from RNAcentral.